Long non-coding RNA from Pseudophryne corroboree (corroboree frog), 1268 nucleotides. RefSeq lists it as uncharacterized. The transcript is spliced from 6 exons. The record is from RefSeq and is a predicted model, not a curated record. Lineage: Eukaryota; Metazoa; Chordata; Amphibia; Anura; Myobatrachidae.
GGAUAGAGACGGGGGCGAUGGGGGCGGUCGCCCCCCCUAGCAAACUCCGUCCGACAGGCAGACAAACUGUCUGUGAAGUCCUGCUCCCUCCUCCCUCCUCCCUUCCUCACUCAGCUGGCUGUCAGCUAUUGUCAGUGGCGCCGAGCCGAGCUCCCAGACGCAGCAUCUCACAGCAGGUGCCCUUCCUCCCCACUCACCCCUUUGGCCUGGACGGCAGUAAAUCAACAUAUUUUGUUGAUUGAGACUGCUUUCUUGUGGCAUCUAAACAGUGCUGAUAAGACGAGGUCAGGAAGUGGCUGUGUGCUGGGGGCGUGGCUACAGUUACAUGACAGGCCUGUGGGCUAAUAGAAACAGUAUAGUGUUGGGAGGGUAGAACCUGUUCUGUGUACACUGUACACAGGAAGAGGAAGCAUAAUGGAACUGUGCGUUCCAUUUCUUUUUGUCCUGUGUUCCACUUUACUUUGCUGCACAGAGUGAGAGCACACUGCAUUCCUGCACCCAGAGACCAGCCAGAGGGACUAUCCUGCCAGUCUGCCACAGGGACCAUCCUGCCAGUCAGUCACAGGGACCAUCCUGCCAGUCAGUCACAGGGACCAUCCUGCCAGUCAGUCACAGGGACCAGCCUGUUGCAGAGGGGCCAUACAACCGCAUCUGCAAGGGGGCCGGCGGCGAGGCUCCGGUGACCAUCCAGGCUGUACCUGUGAUCGUCCCUCUGGAGCUAAUGUCCAGUAGCCAAAGAAGCCAAUCCAUCCUGCACGCAGUGAUGUUGUUGUGUACAUUAUGGUUGUUAUGGUGAUGGUGAUGUCACGAGCAUGCGCCGCACAGCUGAAGUGCGGACAUGCUGUUGUGGGUGAUUCUGACGUGAGCUGCGCCCCGCUUCCGGUCCGGCGGCGGCCGUGGAAACGCGUCAGACACUGCCUGCUGUUCACUGGGUGAGGUAGCAAUUUAAGCUCCAGAGAUGGCAGUCGCAAUGGAAAGAGCAACAGAGUCAGGAAGUCAUCAGGGUGGAGCUGAGUCAGCGACCGUGGCUGCGCAGGCUGCACUGUGGGGCACUACAAGUCUCAGUGAGCCCUGGAUACCAAGGCAUUCUUGAUCAUGACAUUCUAGUCCGCCAUUACCACCUUCCCUGGCAGGGAAUUCGACAUCCUAAUUGCCCUAACAGUGAAGAACCCUUUCCUCCGUUGCGUUCGGAACUUUCUCUCCUCCAGUCGCAGCGAGUGCCCACGUGUCCUAAACUGUGUUCUUUUAAUAAAUAAUUCCUCUGAUAA